This 224-nucleotide long non-coding RNA is filed under the name Elaeis guineensis (African oil palm). RNAcentral's name for it is "long non-coding RNA (EGUI_LNC007785)". Lineage: Eukaryota; Viridiplantae; Streptophyta; Magnoliopsida; Arecales; Arecaceae. The record is from RNAcentral.
UUUAGCCAGUCAUUCGGUUACUUGGGUGAACCAGAUCAAGAUUUCUACUCUGUCUUUGACCUCAUCGAGGAGAAGCAGCCCAUUAAGCAAGCUGAGAACCUGAGUGCCUUCCCUGCAAUAAAACCUGUUGUUCCUACUGAGGGACCUGGGAUGAAUUUAUACUCUGAUCAGGGAAGUAACUCUUUUGGUGGUUCAGACUUUGGAUGGGAACGUGAGGCUAAGAC